AGAGUUUGAUCCUGGCUCAGGAUGAACGCUAGCUACAGGCUUAACACAUGCAAGUCGAGGGGAAACGGCAUUUAGUGCUUGCACCGAAUGGACGUCGACCGGCGCACGGGUGAGUAACGCGUAUCCAACCUACCCAUUACUGUGGGAUAACCUGCCGAAAGGCAGACUAAUACCGCAUAGUCUUCGAUGACGGCAUCAGAUUUGAAGUAAAGAUUUAUCGGUAAUGGAUGGGGAUGCGUCUGAUUAGCUUGUUGGCGGGGUAACGGCCCACCAAGGCAACGAUCAGUAGGGGUUCUGAGAGGAAGGUCCCCCACAUUGGAACUGAGAUACGGUCCAAACUCCUACGGGAGGCAGCAGAAGGG
This 362-nucleotide ribosomal RNA is filed under the name uncultured Prevotella sp. RNAcentral describes it as "bacterial SSU rRNA". It matches the Rfam family "Bacterial small subunit ribosomal RNA", at positions 8 to 359 of the family's 1533-position model. Lineage: Bacteria; Pseudomonadati; Bacteroidota; Bacteroidia; Bacteroidales; Prevotellaceae. The record is from RNAcentral.